GAGGUAUGAGGUUCAAGAAAAAGCUGCUAACUUUUUUCUUUAAUGGUUUAACUCCAUUUAUACCUUU
RNAcentral lists this transfer RNA (67 nucleotides) under Simulium equinum. RNAcentral's name for it is "tRNA-Ser". Lineage: Eukaryota; Metazoa; Arthropoda; Insecta; Diptera; Simuliidae. The record is from RNAcentral.